UCCAACUGGCCGUGGUUUAGUGUUUAUGUGAUUAUACUUGUUGUCAUUGUUACAGUUCCUUACAUAUAUGCUCCGCAUUAUUUUGUUAAAAGUGUAGAUAGGUAAUAUAAUUAUUCUACAUCACUAUAGUGUAAGAGUAAGUAUGCUAACCAAAAGGGCACUGUGUGUAAUUGCAUCAGGGGCGUAAUAAUAAAAAUUUCUAUUAAUUCUAUUGUAUAGAAACAUGAAGAGCUAGGACGACCAAUGGCAUAACCAUAAAUAUACUCAAUAUUGAAGGGUAAUAUGGUCAUUAUACAACACUAAUUUUUUAGCAAUUAACAUGCGCCUCUUCUAUUUUCCUUCUAGAACAUUCUCUCUCUUCCUUCCAUGUUGCAAUUAAGAGAUGACUCAAGAAAAAGAAUUGGUAAAUUGAUCGGAUCUUUCCUAAACCUCCUCUCUCUAGACCUAAUAUGUGAUCUAUCUAUUUCAUAGACUUCUCUUGUGAUGCUACUAAAGCAGGAAUGGGUGGUGUAAAUGGUUUAAUUAUCGGUAUAUAUAAUCGGUUUAUACACAUAGGUAGCUUUAUGAACUUUAAAAAGGAUAUCUAGAAGGAUUGUAACAUGUCAUAUUCUACAAUUCUGAAGAGUAAGCAUGAUGAAUCUUUCUGAUUGAUAAAAAUGGCCUCGAGAGGGAUUGUAACAUGUCAUAUUUUUACAAUUGUGAAGAAUAAGCAUAUGUUGGAAUAUGAAUUUCAUAAAUUGUUGUUUCUUUCUGAUGAAUGUAGUAUAAUUGGUGCAGGUGAUUGACGGUUUAGUUCCAUUAACAGAGAUGUUCAAUUGCGUUAGUAAAACUUGAAAGGGAAUGACAAAGGAGCAUGCAUCGUACAUUAUGCAAUUAGGCAAGUUUGAUGUUGUCCCUCAACACAUUCAAAUCAGCUUGCCAAAAAGGAAGAAGCAGCAGUUGUUUAGUCAGUCAGCUUUCAAAUUUGGAUCCACGAACUUAAAAAUAGGUAUUUUUACUCAAUGAAGGGACUGCUCUUUGACAUCAUCUUGUCUUUUGGUGUUGCAAUUUCAGUUUGAUCUUUUAUCUUAAUUUUAGCCAUUAUUUUAAGAUUCUCUUUACAUUUUCCAACAUGGUUGAAGCGGUUAUAUUUUGACUAGCUUUCACUGCCAUAAAUUUCAUAGAGGCAAGUCAACAUGCCGGUUUUAUACUGAUUUGUUGUGAAUUUCAACCUCUUACUUGUUCUCCUAUGCUUGGUGGUUAAUUUCUUUAAAUUUUUUUACUCAACGGUUAGUCUCCCGUGGUUUCCACUCCAAGUCCACCAAUCCAACGUAAACUUGCCAACAUCGUAUUUCAUGAAACUUGUGUGCACUUACCAAACUACCCUGCCCCUUCGCCCUCAACCAUUAGCUCCCACGCCUAAUAACAAGGACAUCAUAGUAAAAUCACUUUGUUACCGUAAUCGAACAGACCCCAUAGAAUAUAGUUGGACUGGUUAUUUUUUUCUUUAACUUCUUUAAUAAUAAUUAAGAAUCUACGUUAACACUUGACUAAUAGUAUAUGAGUUCCCUCUGUUCUUUUUUCCAUCAUAAAGUUUAAUUUUUCUUUGUUGUUUCUAAAUUAAAACUUGUAUUCUUUUAAUUCCAAUCUUUUAACCUUUUAGGUGAACCAAGAAAAGAAAAAAUGUUGGAUGCAUAAAAGAAUAACAAGUUUUAUUCCCAAUGGUAAGAGUGACAAUUUGUUAGGGUUGGUUUUUUUUUUCCAUAAAUAUUUUUCAGAAUGUAGAAAAUUAUUUUUCUUGUUAAUUUUGCUUAUGUUGUGGGAAUUUUCUGAUAUAACAAGAGUCUACAAUCAGGCAGACGAAAACUCAAAUCGAAAUGAUCAGGAAGUAGAGAUAUGCAAUGUAGAAAUAUUUGAAGAAUGAUAUAACUGGCGUCUUAAAAUAUGGAUUGGAUGUCAACCCCUGCCACAGGGUAAUUUUCUUUUGUUGGAAUUGAUCCAUCUAUAUAUUCUGUUAUUCUAUCACUUAGUUUUAUUUUAUAUGGCCUCUUUCUUUAUACUGAUUUGUUGUGAGUUUUAGUUUUAUUUUAUAUGGCCUGUUUCUUUAUACUGAUUUGUUUGAGUUUCAACCUCUUACGUGUUCUCCUAUUCUUUGGUGGUUAAUUCCAUUAGUUUUUUUGUAUGUGCAUGUUAGUUCGUGCACAUAUCUUUUCUUCUACUUGAUUUUCCUAAAACCAAAUACACGCUAUCACUAAGAAUAAUGGUCUAUUGAGUUCUCUUCCUCUCAAUGCAACUGCAUUGCUUUGGCUAAUUUAUAUGAGCUUAAGGAAAAAGAAAAUGUAGAGUGAAUUUUUUAAAAAGAAAAUGUAGAGUGAUUUUUUUUUCUUUCUUUCUUUUCGGUGAUUACUAAGAAAGGCUAAUGAUCUAAAUUUAUGCAUUCUCUAAGUUGGUCUUUUUCAUAAGCACCAUGCCAAGUCAAAAAGGGCCACAUAAAAUAGGAUAGAUGGAGUAUAAUUUUUUUUUAAAUGUACUUCCUAUCAUAAAUAGUUAUUUUUGUAAUGAAAAAAUUAACAUAAAAUGUAUUCUUGAUAAAAAUAUUAGCCCCCCCCCCCUCCCCCUAAAAUUGAGGGCCCAAGGCAUGUGCUUACUUUUUAUAGCAUAGAGUUUACCAUGUGUUGCAAUUCUCAAGCCUUAAUUAGCUCUUGAAGAAGGUUAGCAACCACAUAUAUCUUCCUUCUCAGAAAUAUUUAUGCACAAAUAUACUUAUAUACGUGCAAGAUGUUUUAACAGUAAAUAUUGAAAUAUAGCGCAAGACUCUUCUCAUAUGAGCCAGACAUGUUUCAAUAUUCUAUGUGCUAAGAGGAUUCUUCCAUGAUUGUGAUUUUGAAUUUUGCAAUGUGAAUGACAGGAAUACUUUCUUGAAUCUAUUUCCUUAGGGCAUUGAGUGAAGGUUGUUCCUUUCAAAUUCACAUAUAACUUGGUAUAUGUUAAUUCUUUGUGGUUAUCUUCAGUAUUUUAUUUUAAAUUGACAUAUAACUUGUAAUAUGCUGGUUCUUUGUGAUUGUCUUCACUAUUUUAUUUUUACUUUUGCUUUAAGUGCUACUAUUUUUAUGAACAGUUGUUAUUUCGGAACUUUUAUUCCUUUCCUUGAGAUAUUAAAGCUGGAGUAUAUAGUUCGUGCUGAGUGAAGGAAAUUUUGCAUCUUAUCAAGACAAUUGCAAACACUCGAGGCAUCAAUGGAUUUAUGAAACGGAAUUUUAUUACUCUACAUGCAGCUCCAUUUAAGGAUACCAACUUCUAUUCUUUUGAAAAAUACAGAGAGCAUCUACUCAAAUUUACUACUAAUGAUUCAAGGCAUCACUAGAUUUUGUAAAAUGAAUUUUGUCAUAUUCUAUGAUUAGCUCUAUGUAAGUCUAUCCACUUCUAUUUUCUUAUGAUAAAUAUUGAAAAGUAUUUAGAAGAUAGUUGUCUGCAAUGUAAAGUUAUUUGUGGAAAGGGAGAAAUUAGUUGUAUUAUUGCACUUUGAAGUUCAUUUGUAUAACUUAUGCAAUGAUCUAUUAGCUUUUACAAUAUAUACUCUUAUCCGAGUAACUAUGCAAAGUACAUACCACUUGAAAAUGCUAAAUGUUGGGCCCGUGUAAGCACGGGCUAUAUCCAUCUAGUCUAUCUAUUAUAUAGAAACGUGAUGAGAGGACGACCACUGGC
This 3684-nucleotide long non-coding RNA is filed under the name Solanum tuberosum (potato). RNAcentral's name for it is "long non-coding RNA (STUB_LNC007950)". The record is from RNAcentral. Lineage: Eukaryota; Viridiplantae; Streptophyta; Magnoliopsida; Solanales; Solanaceae.